This is a small RNA of 196 nucleotides. It matches the Rfam family "sroC RNA". From Rfam's summary of the family: This family consists of a number of bacterial sroC RNA genes of around 160 bases in length. sroC is found in several Enterobacterial species. It base-pairs with GcvB. The record is from Rfam.
ACUAAUUACAACCAUUAAGGGGCGGGACAUCCUGCCCUCUCGAUUGCUUCGACAGCCCGGACAGACUCUGCGUCGGAUGGUCGUUCCCCAUCCGGCGUGAACACUCCACUCGUUUCCAGCCCAAAAAUAAGGAAACAGCGGAGAAGGCUUCGCAACAAUCUUCGAGGGUAGCCAGGCUACCCUUAUUUUUUUUGGA